GACGAACGCUGGCGGCGUGCUUAACACAUGCAAGUCGAACGGAAAGGCCCUGCUUUUGUGGGGUGCUCGAGUGGCGAACGAGUGAGUAACACGUGAGUAACCUGCCCUUGACUUUGUGAUAACUUCAGGAAACUGGGGCUAAUACCGGAUAGGAGCUCCUGCUGCAUGGUGGGGGUUGGACAGUUUCGGCGGUUGGGGAUGGACUCGCGGCUUAUCAGCUUGUUGGUGGGGUAGUGGCUUACCAAGGCUUUGACGGGUAGCCGGCCUGAGAGGGUGACCGGCCACAUUGGGACUGAGAUGCGGGCCAGACUCAUACGGGAGGCAGCAGUGGGGAAUAGUGCACGAUGGGCGGAAGCCGGAUGCAGCAACGCCGCGUGCGGGAUGACGGCCUUCGGUUUGUAAUCCGCUGUCGCCUGUGACGAAGCGGGAGUGACGGUAAUAGGUAAAGAAGCACCGGCUAACUACGUG
RNAcentral lists this ribosomal RNA (468 nucleotides) under uncultured bacterium. Its description in RNAcentral is "partial 16S ribosomal RNA". It matches the Rfam family "Bacterial small subunit ribosomal RNA", at positions 28 to 507 of the family's 1533-position model. The record is from RNAcentral.